CCUGAAGAAGAAAUAAACACUGUUGUGCUAAAUACGUUGAACAGGGAGACCACAGAAAAUUUCAACAGUUGAUGACAUGAACACUGUGAGCACUCCAAAGAGGCAAACAAACGAUUAGUGACAUCAGAGCAACAACCCCCAGAGGGCAGGAGUGAAGGUACCGCAAGCUUCUGUUGGAAAUAGUAGCAGAGGACUUGAUGACCAAAAGUACAGAACCGCCACCAGAAGAUGCAAACGACUUACUAGCAACAAGAAUCAGAAGGCCCGGCUGGCAUUUGCGAAAAACUAUGGAGAUGUGCCUCAAAAGUGCUGUGACAGUUUUAAACACCACUUAGUCAAAGAUUAGGUUUUGCCAUAAAGAUGGAAAGGUUAAAGUUCGGAGAACGAAAGGGUCUGCUCAUAAUUCCAAACAUACAAGCUCAUUGUGAAACACAGUGGAGGUAAUGUCAGGCAUAGUUUACGCUUGAAUGGCUUCUCGGACGAGCUCAAUAAUCUUUAAUGAUGAUGUAAUACAUGAUCAGUUGCAAAAUAAACUACAGAAACAUUUUGUCUACCAAUUUAAAGAAUAAUGCAUCCAAACUGAUUGGCAGAUCCUUCAUCAUGCAGAAUUGCUAAGUCGCGACACACUUUUAUUGAAGAACAAUAAAUAAAAUGCAUUGUUAAAAAGUAGCCUUUGAAAACAUAUGUAUAUCAUUUUUUUUAAAACAGAACUCCACACACUUUCAUGUUCAAAAUGCCUUUUAGGGCACCUGGUUAAGAAGCUGAGGAUGAACAAAUAAAUACAUUUCUGCUGCCUGCCUGUCAAUACAAUGUUACUUUCCAAAUAAAAGGCAACUCUAACCAGGGAUGCAUGUAAAAUACAGUGGGUACGGAAAGUAUUCAGACCGCCUUAAAUCUUUCCCCCUGUGUUAUAUUGUAGCCAUUUGGUAAAAUCAUUUAAUUUCAUUUUUUUUCCGCAUUAAUGUACACACGGCACCCCAUAUUGACAGAAAAAAAAUAGAAUUGUUGAAACUUUUGCAAAUUUAUUAAAAAAGAAAAACUAGUAUUCAGACCUUUUGCUCAGUAUUUAAUAGAAGCUCGCUUUUGACCUAAAACAGCCAUGAGUCUUUUUGGGAAUUUUUCACUCCUGAAUUUUGGCAUCCUCUGCCAUUCCUCGUUGCAGAUCCUCUCCAGUUCUGUCAGGUUGGAUCGUGAACGUUGGUGGACAGCCAUUUUCAGGUCUCUCCAGAGAUGCUCAAUUGGGUUUCAGUCAGGGUUCUGGCAGAAAUCUUUUUGUAACCUUAGUCAAAUCUGUACCUUGCCACAAUUCUGUCGCUGAGCUCUUCAUGCAGUUCAUUAGACCUCAUGAUUCUCAUUUGUUCUGACAUGCACUGUGAGCUGUAAGGUCUUAUACAGACAGGUGUGUGGCUUUCCUAAUCAAGUCCAAUCAGUAUAAUCAAACACAGCUGGACUCCAAUGAACCUACUAAAGGAUGAUCAGAAGAAAUUGACAGCACCCAAGUUAAAUAUAUGAGCGUCACAGCAAAGGGUCUGAAUACUGAUGGCUGUGUGGUAUUUCAGUUUUUCUUUUUUAACUCAUUCCCUGCCAAUGCCGUCUAAAGACGUCAAUGCCGUUGUUUAAUGGGGGAUGGGUGGGGGAGAGUCUUGUGCAGUUUAUGUGUGAUUGUCAAGCCUCGGGAUAACUGCAAUGAGGAUUGGCACCCUGUAGAGGGCAACAAUGCCUUCACCUGAAUGUCCCUCGCUCAGAAGAAGAAGAGGAAGAAGAAGGAGGGGGCGGGCCGGCGAGGUACAAGAGACAAUGAGAAGAGACAAACAUAAUGGUGGAAAAGAGAGAAGACAACAUGAAAAAAAUCUUAAAAAAAAAAAAAAUCUUUCGGUACAAGAAAUUUAUUGCGCCAAGGCAAGAAUAAUAUUCCUGCGACCGACAGGAAUGACACCUUAGAUCAUGCAGGGAAUAAACGAUGGCGCGCCAUGUCAGAAUGUCGCUCCGAGCGAUUGCUUUGUUCCAAAGCUAUCGCUCAAAAUGCUGGCCCAUACAUAUGGCGAGAUCCUCCCAGCCGCUUGCCAGCUGAUUGUCUCUCGACCAGGAUUUGAGUAAAUAGGAUCCGGAAUCGUGAUGAGUGAACUCCUUCUGGAUAGCCAGCCGAACUUCAUUACGAGCAUCCUUCGACGAAGUCCGACGAAGUCGAAGGUAACUCAUUUGCAGCUCGCGUUAGCUACAUUUAGCGAGCAAACACUCUCCUUCAAUCCUUGUUCCAUAAAAACAUAAUUUAAUCCCACUAGUUCACAUUAUAAUAUAACAUCUGUUGCCAGUGCUGAUUAGAAUUUUCCAUUUCGUUAAUCUUGCAGGAAUUCAACACCUACGAGUCGAGCGUCUUUUAGGAUUGCGACAAAGAAAAGUUAUCCAUCCAGCAGACGUUCCCAUUUCCCAUUCCAGUACACAAUGCAAAAAAAAAGGUUGUACUUCAAGCAAAGGUAGAGACUGGUUUCAAAGAGAAUGACAACCACACAAGAUAUUCUGUUCACUGCCAACAGAAGAAUAAAAUCCAUAUGUGGAUCAAACUGCUAGAUUUUAUGUGCAAGUUAAUAAAAACCUGGACUAUUGAGCAAACGGUCGAGGACGAGAAUUUGGAGGGAAAAAAGUGCAAGUGUGGAACCCCAUUUGUUCAUGCAUUUCGGUCUAAUGUAAAUUCUGUACAUAGUUAUACUUGUAAAUAAAUAAUUUUUCUGUCAAAAGUACUUUCUCAGUGUUGUUUUAUGUUCAGAUGUUGAGAUUUUCAUGAAAGAAAAAAAAUAUUUGUGUCAAAGUCAUGGUUCUGCUUGAUAACAGAUAACUAGCAACCCUUUAUUGCUCAGUGACUGUUUUUUUCUUUUUUGUCAAUGUCUUUAUGUCU
Long non-coding RNA from Phycodurus eques (leafy seadragon), 2893 nucleotides. RefSeq lists it as uncharacterized. The transcript is spliced from 3 exons. Lineage: Eukaryota; Metazoa; Chordata; Actinopteri; Syngnathiformes; Syngnathidae. The record is from RefSeq and is a predicted model, not a curated record.